GUUUCUCUCACAUUUCUUUGUGUUCUCCGUCCACCAAGAACACAAACUCAGUUUCUCCACUAAAACCCCACCUUUCACUACCCAUAAUAUUUUAAUCUCCAUUGUUUUUGCUUCGAAAUUGUCCCCAUAAACUUUCUUUUUCAUCAUCUUCAACCUUCAAACACAAUCUCUCACCCAGAAAAUUUCAUAUUCACCAUUUUCAUCCGUCAAGAACAUAAACCCAUAAAUCUUACCUAAAAACUUUUGUUUUCAUCAUCUGCAACAAUGUCACAAGUUGAUGGUUUUUUUGAAGAUGACAUCCCCACACCUAUUAAUCCCCCUAGUGUUAC
This 329-nucleotide long non-coding RNA is filed under the name Lathyrus oleraceus (garden pea). RNAcentral's name for it is "Pisum sativum (pea) long non-coding RNA (PSAT_LNC025632)". Lineage: Eukaryota; Viridiplantae; Streptophyta; Magnoliopsida; Fabales; Fabaceae. The record is from RNAcentral.